GGGAGGGGCGCGAGCGUUGUCCGGAAUUACUGGGCGUAAAGGGGGCGCAGGCGGCUAGGUAAGUCCUAUGUGAAAGCCCACGGCUCAACCGUGGAAAGCCAUAGGAUACUGCCCAGGCUAGAGACGGGUAGAGGCGAGUGGAAUUCCCGGUGUAGCGGUGGAAUGCGUAGAUAUCGGGAAGAACACCAGUGGCGAAGGCGACUCGCUGGGCCCGUUCUGACGCUCAGGCCCGAAAGCGUGGGGAGCAAACAGGAUUAGAUACCCUGGUAGUCCACGCCGUAAACGAUGGGCACUAGGUGCCGGGAAGUGUGACCUUUCGGUGCCGUAGCUAACGCGUUAAGUGCCCCGCCUGGGGAGUACGGCCGCAAAGGCUG
RNAcentral lists this ribosomal RNA (374 nucleotides) under uncultured organism. RNAcentral's name for it is "partial 16S ribosomal RNA". It matches the Rfam family "Bacterial small subunit ribosomal RNA", at positions 525 to 896 of the family's 1533-position model. The record is from RNAcentral.